GCCGACCCCGCGCUCUCCCGCUCAGCUCGCCGUCCCCAAACCGAGCGCGGCUGCCCCGAAGGACGGGAACAACCGACCCCUCCCGACCCUCCCCAGCCUCAACCUGCUGCACUUCGACCGCGAGCGCCUGGAGCGGAAGCUGGCGCCGUUCGGCCGCGCGGGGCGCCCGGUGCCCCCCGAGCUGCGGCAGCAGCACCAGGAGCUGCAGCGGCGCAUCCAGGGGCUGGGGGCGCGGCUGCAGGGGGGCGACCCCCAGUUCCGCACGGAGUACGCCGAGCACCUGCAGCGGCACCUGCGGCUCUACACGGAAGCCGCGCGGCGCCUCGGCACGCAGGGAGAGAGGGUGGGUGAGACCCCAGCCCAGCCAAGCCCCCCGAGCCGGGGGAACCCCCCCAGGGCCCCCGGGACACCCCCAGAUUCUGAGGGUUCCGCCCCAAAAAUCGUGGAGCAGUCCCGCUCCCUCUCGGAUCUUCCCAAGUCCUGGUGAUUCCCCACCCCCCAAAAUCCUGGACACUCCCAAAUCCUGGUGGUCCCACCCCAAAAAUCCCCAACACCCACCCCCAGACCCUCCUGGACACCCCCAAAUCCUGGGGGUCCCACCCCAAAAAUCCUGGACACUCCUAAAUCUUGAUGGUCCCAUCCCAAAAAAAAAGUUUUGGACCACCCCCAGACCCUCCUGGACACUCCCAAAUUCUUGUGGUCCCACCCCAAAAAUCCUGGACUACCCUCAAAGAUCCUGGACACUCCCAAAUCCUCCCCAAAAAUCCUGGACCACUCCCCCAGACCCUCCUCAACACCCCCAAAUUCUGAGGGUCCCACCCCAAAAAUCGUGGAGCACCACCCCCAGAC
This is a long non-coding RNA of Pyrgilauda ruficollis (rufous-necked snowfinch), 849 nucleotides long. RefSeq lists it as uncharacterized. The record is from RefSeq and is a predicted model, not a curated record. The transcript has 4 exons. NCBI's taxonomy places the organism in Eukaryota, Metazoa, Chordata, Aves, Passeriformes, Passeridae.